Molecule: long non-coding RNA, 1819 nt
Filed under: Mustela putorius furo (domestic ferret)
Lineage: Eukaryota; Metazoa; Chordata; Mammalia; Carnivora; Mustelidae
Description: lncRNA (ENSMPUG00000027715.1)
Source: RNAcentral
CUCAUCUUGAGACUCUGACUAUUAUGGGUUGAAUUAUGCUUCCCCAAACUCAGGUGUUCAAGUCCUAACCUGAUAUUACCCCAGAAGUGACCUUAUUUGGAGAUGGGGUCAUUAUAGAAAUAAUCAAGUUAAAAUGAAGUCCACUGGGUGCACCUUAAUCAAUAUGACUCAUAUUCUUAUGAAAAGGGAAAAUCAGAAGACAGAGGAAGACAACAUGAAGAUAUAAGGAAAAGGACAUGUGAACAUUAAGACCAACCGCCAUCCACAAGCCAGGGAGAAAUGUCUGGAACAGAUCCUUGCCUCUCAGCUCUCAAAAGGAACCGACUCUGCCAACAAUUUAAUUUUGAAUUUCUAGUCUUCAGAACUAGGAGAUAAUACAUUUCUAUUAUUCAAGCCACCUGUUCUGUGGCUGUACAUGUGAGAGAGGGUGACAGAUUCCCAAAGGGUCCUUCAAGAUGGCAGCAGAAAAGCCAGAGGUGGGAAUGCAAGAGAUAAGGGGUGAAGUCGAUGUGAGGGGCUAUCAGGAUGCACCUGCGAGCAGAGGUACUGGCUGCAGCAGUGUCUGCAGUGGAAGGUGAGCCAAGGGGAAGAGACAGGGUGCGGGAAGAAACUACCACAUCUCAACAUAUCAGUUCUAACCGACUUGUAGUGGCUGCUGGGAGUCUGGGAUUAAGAAGAAUCCAUAAGCUGAGUCUGGACUUAUCAGCAAAGAACCCCAUGUCCAUGAGGAAUGAAGUUGAGGAGGACUGUAGUGAACAGAGCCGCCGGAAAGCAACACAACAGUUUGAAAAUGCUCUCACUCACAGGAAUGUUUAGAUUCCACUAUAAGAUGUAACACAGAACAACAUUCUUUUGUCAGUGUCCGACAAAACAAAUCUUUCAUGAGUUGGAUUGGCAGAUAAUAACCAGUUCCUUUGGAUUCAUGUGCUUUCGAUCAAAGAGAAUAAACCGUAAGAAGAAUGGCAAUGAGUGUUUUCCACAUUAAUAUCAUCAGAUGGUGACAUGAUAUUGACUUUUCAGAGAAGGAAAAAGAGGUUUGUGAGUUAUGCAUAAUUCAUAGAUUUCUGAGUCUUAUAGCAUUCUGGACACAGGUCUUAUUCGAGCUACAUCCCCAUGCCAUAGAGCGUUGAAAAGGUCAGAUCCUAUGGUAUGUGUGAAGCUCCUUGGAUGGGAGAAGUAUACAUUCUUCUGGAUGCUGUUUGUCAUCUGUCCCUCAGAAUUCCUUCCCUGGCUUUGCCUCUGCCAACCAAGUGUGUUUUGUCAACACUUUUGCCAACUUCUUUCUCCUUCCUUCAGGCAUAAGCUACCCUAUUCUCCACAGCAAUUCUGUCACAACAAAGCUGCUAUUGUCACAGGAUUUUAAUAAAGAUUUGGGAAUAGUAGAAGGAUCAGAAUACAGAGGAGAAGCUAACUGGAUGGCUCACCUCAGUAUUCCUAAAGUAUGUGGCCAGUCCUUCUCUAGGAGAACCCAUUAGUGGCCAUCUUUCUCUUCAGCCAUAAUUGUCUCGUGUUACUGGGGGGGUCUGCAAGUUCCCAUCUUCCCACUUCCUACAUUUCGUGGGGUCCCUAAUACUUCCUUCCCUUCUAGCUGCCAGGGGGGAAGUCAAGAAUCCUUGUAAUUUUAUCAUACAACAUACAAUCUGGCUUCUGCCCUUUCUCAGUAUCUUCCUUCCAAACUAGCCCACAGGCCGUUCUUUACCAGAAUGACAAUAAGACUUGGAAAUAAAUCCUCCCAAAGAAAAGUGAUAAAUCCUGCUACCUGUUUAGAACACAGCUCCAGUGUUUUCACUUAAAAAAAUUUUUUUAAGGCAAUUUUAUU